CCUACGGGUGGCAGCAGUCGAGAAUCAUUCACAAUGGGGGCAACCCUGAUGGUGCGACGCCGCGUGGAUGAAUGAAGGUCUUCGGAUGUUAAGCCCCUGUCAUGUGGGAGCAAAUUGAAACGAUAGUACCCCAAUAGGCAGAGACUACUAACUCGGUGUCAGCAGCCCCGGUAAUACAGAGGUCUCACGCGUUGUUCGGAAUCACUGGGCGUAAAGCGUGCGUAGGCUGUUUCUUAAGUCGUGUGUGAAAGGCGCGGGCUCAACCCGCGGACGGCACAUGAUACUGGGAGACUAGAGUAAUGGAGGGGGAACUGGAAUUCCAGGUGUAGCAGUGAAAUGCGUAGAUAUCGAGAGGAACACUCGUGGCGAAGGCGGGUGCCUGGACAGUAACUGACGCUGAGGUACGAAGGCCAGGGGAGCGAAAGGGAUUAGAUACCCCAGUAGUC
Molecule: ribosomal RNA, 446 nt
Filed under: uncultured bacterium
Lineage: Bacteria
Description: partial 16S ribosomal RNA
Rfam family: Bacterial small subunit ribosomal RNA
Source: RNAcentral